This 568-nucleotide ribosomal RNA is filed under the name uncultured bacterium. RNAcentral describes it as "partial 16S ribosomal RNA". It matches the Rfam family "Bacterial small subunit ribosomal RNA", at positions 355 to 1375 of the family's 1533-position model. The record is from RNAcentral.
UGGGGAAUAUUGCACAAUGGGCGCAAGCCUGAUGCAGCGACGCCGCGUGAGGGAUGACGGCCUUCGGGUUGUAAACCUCUUUCAGCAGGGACGAAGCGCAAGUGACGGUACCUGCAGAAGAAGCACCGGCCAACUACGUGCCAGCAGCCGCGGUAAUACGUAGGGUGCGAGCGUUGUCCGGAAUUACUGGGCGUAAAGAGCUCGUAGGCGGUUUGUCGCGUCGUCUGUGAAAUUCUGCAGCUUAACUGCAGGCGUGCAGGCGAUACGGGCAGACUUGAGUACUACAGGGGAGACUGGAAUUCCUGGUGUAGCGGUGAAAUGCGCAGAUAUCAGGAGGAACACCGGUGGCGAAGGCGGGUCUCUGGGUAGUAACUGACGCUGAGGAGCGAAAGCGUGGGUAGCGAACAGGAUUAGAUACCCUGGUAGUCCACGCCGUAAACGGUGGGUACUAGGUGUGGGUUCCAUUUCACGGGAUCCGUGCCGUAGCUAACGCAUUAAGUACCCCGCCUGGGGAGUACGGCCGCAAGGCUAAAACUUAAAGGAAUUGACGGGGUCAUAGCUGUUUCCU